AUACGGAGGGGGCAAGCGUUGUUCGGAAUUAUUGGGCGUAAAGGGCGCGUAGGCGGCACUGUAAGUCGGUUGUGAAAUCCCUUGGCUCAACCAAGGAACUGCAACCGAAACUACAGAGCUAGAGUCCGAGAGAGGGUAGUGGAAUUCCCAGUGUAGCGGUGAAAUGCGUAGAUAUUGGGAGGAACACCAGUGGCGAAGGCGGCUACCUGGACCGGUACUGACGCUGAGGCGCGAAAGCUAGGGGAGCAAACAGAAUUAGAAACCCCGGUAGUCC
RNAcentral lists this ribosomal RNA (274 nucleotides) under uncultured bacterium. RNAcentral describes it as "partial 16S ribosomal RNA". It matches the Rfam family "Bacterial small subunit ribosomal RNA", at positions 523 to 796 of the family's 1533-position model. The record is from RNAcentral.